GACGAACGCUGGCGGCGUGCCUAAUACAUGCCAGUAGAACGCACAGUUUAUACCGUAGCUUGCUACACCAUAGACUGUGAGUUGCGAACGGGUGAGUAACGCGUAGGUAACCUGCCUGGUAGCGGGGGAUAACUAUUGGAAACGAUAGCUAAUACCGCAUAAUAUUGAUUAUUGCAUGAUAAUUGAUUGAAAGAUGCUAUUGCAUCACUACCAGAUGGACCUGCGUUGUAUUAGCUAGUAGGUGAGGUAACGGCUCACCUAGGCGACGAUACAUAGCCGACCUGAGAGGGUGAUCGGCCACACUGGGACUGAGACACGGCCCAGACUCCUACGGGAGGCAGCAGUAGGGAAUCUUCGGCAAUGGACGAAAGUCUGACCGAGCAACGCCGCGUGAGUGAAGAAGGGUUUCGGAUCGUAAAGCUCGGUUGUAAGAGAAGAACGGGUGUGAGAGUGGAAAGUUCACACUGUGACGGUAUCUUACCAGAAAGGGACGGCUAACUACGUG
Molecule: ribosomal RNA, 505 nt
Filed under: uncultured bacterium
Lineage: Bacteria
Description: partial 16S ribosomal RNA
Rfam family: Bacterial small subunit ribosomal RNA
Source: RNAcentral